Molecule: long non-coding RNA, 481 nt
Filed under: Rhinopithecus bieti (black snub-nosed monkey)
Lineage: Eukaryota; Metazoa; Chordata; Mammalia; Primates; Cercopithecidae
Description: lncRNA (ENSRBIG00000045508.1)
Source: RNAcentral
CUCGGGGCCCUUCAGUGUGGGUGAACAAAACCCCAGAGCCCCCGCCAGCUUCUGUGCAGGGCUCAGACCCACAGCUGCUCACGAGGCGCUGAGCCUCGGGCGCAUAACGGAAUGUUCCCCCUUGAAGGUGUCAUUGGCGCGGAAGAAGAUGAACCUCAUUGAAGAGCGUGUCUCCAGCUCAGCAGCACCUGGGAUUUGUGCAGCCCGGGCCAGGGCGGAAGGGCGUUGAGGGGUUUCCCGGCCUGAGUUUGGAUUUGGGGACCCGAGGAACCCUGGAAGGCGAGGAGGUUCCGUGUCGGUGUCAGUCCUGGGACCUCCCUGUGCAGAGAGGCUCACUGUUCCCACGCGCCCUCCGUCAGCAGGGCAAGGAGAGGACUGUGCAUCCUCAGUGACCGUGGUGCCUAACCCUGCUUUAGAGAAGUCUGUCCUUGCCCCCAAGCUGCUUUCCACGGAGUUCUGUUUGCACACGAGGUCGCUGUGA